UCUAAGAUGUUAAAAAUGAUGUCAGUUUAUUAUUUUAGAAUUAGAAGUAUAAUUGUCAUAGAAACCGCAAAACUUGGGUCAGCCUGGCCAACAUAUUCUUUCCUUUUUGGCAGAUCUUCAGGCUCAUGUGGAAAAACUGAUAAACGGAAAGCAAAUGGAAGAAUAUAAAAACCCCAGUAAUCCCACCACCUAGAGAAAACUACUGAAAUUUCAAAGCAUAACAAAGACCCAAUUCUUGCUGCUCUGGUGUUGCUUCGGUGGGAAUUUCAGCAGCAGUUCUGUGGAUUGUCCUGACGGAUGCCACCACUUUUGAACGCUGACAAGGAAGCUGAAGCACAGGCAGCAAUGAAAUGACUUGACCAGAGUAAGCCAUUUGUUAGUGUCAGAAGCAGUGAUCGAUUUCUCAUUGAAGACUGCGGUGUUCUCUACGAAGAAGGGAUAUCACACGCCAUCAAGAAAAAGUCAUGGGAACCACCACUCAAGUCAACAGAUAGAAACAACAUUUCCAGCAUUCCAGAGGCCGCUUCCUUCCCUUUCCUGGUCACCACCUAUCCCCACCUCC
Molecule: long non-coding RNA, 562 nt
Organism: Chlorocebus sabaeus (green monkey)
Lineage: Eukaryota; Metazoa; Chordata; Mammalia; Primates; Cercopithecidae
Source: RefSeq, a predicted model, not a curated record